GACGAACGCUGGCGGCAUGCCUAAUACAUGCAAGUCGAGCGAACGGAUGAAGUGCUUGCACUUCUGACGUUAGCGGCGAACGGGUGAGUAACACGUAAGGAAUCUACCUAUAAGCGGGGGAUAACAUUCGGAAACGGGUGCUAAUACCGCAUAAUAUCUUCUUCCGCAUGGAAGAAGAUUGAAAGACGGCUCUGCUGUCACGUAUAGAUGACCUUGCGGUGCAUUAGUUAGUUGGUGGGGUAAUGGCCUACCAAGGCGAUGAUGCAUAGCCGACCUGAGAGGGUGAUCGGCCACAUUGGGACUGAGACACGGCCCAAACUCCUACGGGAGGCAGCAGUAGGGAAUCUUCCGCAAUGGGCGAAAGCCUGACGGAGCAAUGCCGCGUGAGUGAAGAAGGCCUUCGGGUCGUAAAACUCUGUUAUAAGAGAAGAACAAAUUGUAGAGUAACUGCUACAGUCUUGACGGUAUCUUAUCAGAAAGCCACGGCUAACUACGUGCCAGCCGCCGCGGUAA
Molecule: ribosomal RNA, 513 nt
Filed under: uncultured bacterium
Lineage: Bacteria
Description: partial 16S ribosomal RNA
Rfam family: Bacterial small subunit ribosomal RNA
Source: RNAcentral